AGCAAGAGAAAAAUGGACCCUGAACGUGCCCCAUCUCGUCUGAUCUUGGAAGACAAGCAGGGUCGAGCCUGGGUAGUACUUGGAUGGGAGAUCAUCUGGGAAUACCAGGUGCUGUAGGUG
RNAcentral lists this ribosomal RNA (120 nucleotides) under Pteropus alecto (black flying fox). The record is from RNAcentral. Lineage: Eukaryota; Metazoa; Chordata; Mammalia; Chiroptera; Pteropodidae.